UAUCCAGGUUGUUUUUCCGAUGUUCGAUCGGACACGUUGCUGAUGGAACUGUUUUCAAGAGCUGCAGCCUCGUGAAAUGAAUGGCAAAUGUAUUUUGAUUUAGCCUUCCAGGGCAUCGGUGGACAAGAGCAAGCUUCCAGUGGGACAUCCAGAUAUGACUGUGUGAAGCUGGUUUCAGUCAUUACCCUCUGACCCCUGACCUGGCAAUGCAUUGUGGGCACCCCAUGGUCUACUUCUAGGGCCAAUGGGACCCUGGAUGUUUUUCUCGAUCAGCUGAAUAUUGAGCGUUGAUGGCAUUGUUAAAACACUGUACUUUUGCCUGCUAAACUGCUGUAGUGUAUAUAAUAUUUUUCAUGUGCCUCAUGAUUCCAUGAAGGGUUUCUAUGACUUUGAAAGUCUAGACUAGAGCUAACAAUGACAUUGUAUGUAUUUCCUGGACCUGUCUGGUUUUAAACCUGGACAGUGCAUUCAGCUGCUAUGAUUGUCAUACAUAUGUUUAAUAUAUAGGUCUUUCAAAACUCGUAUUUUAUUAUAAGCCACAAAAUAAACAAUUAGGGUUCAAUAA
Long non-coding RNA from Esox lucius (northern pike), 565 nucleotides. RefSeq lists it as uncharacterized. The record is from RefSeq and is a predicted model, not a curated record. Lineage: Eukaryota; Metazoa; Chordata; Actinopteri; Esociformes; Esocidae. The transcript has 2 exons.